Falco peregrinus (peregrine falcon) is the source of this 3573-nucleotide long non-coding RNA. RefSeq lists it as uncharacterized. NCBI's taxonomy places the organism in Eukaryota, Metazoa, Chordata, Aves, Falconiformes, Falconidae. The transcript is spliced from 12 exons. The record is from RefSeq and is a predicted model, not a curated record.
CCAUCAUUCUCUAAGCAAGUGACGUUACCUGCUGUGACUUCACCUGCGGCUAGCAUCUGGUCGAGGAGCAGUGCAAACGCCAUGGACUGAGGCAAGACUGAGGAGCCGAGAAGCAUACCCUGCCAGAAGAGUCUUGCUCAGCAGCGCCUGCAAGCCUCAGGCUCCAGUUUUUGCUGAGGCCAAGAUGCACAGCUUGUGAGGAUGCAGAGCUCAAGCAGGACAAGAUAACUCCAGUAUCACAGGUUUGUCCAUCUUGAGGGUCAGAAGAAGCACAUGCAAUAACUACAGAAGCUUGCUUGGAAAACUGCUUGGGAAUUUGCUUUCUGUCCGAGUGAUGCUGGGCGGCAUUUAGGAGGGACACAUUUCCUAAAGGACAGGAACUGCAAAUUCCAAGAGACGAAGCAGCACAAUGCUCGUAAGCCAGCAAUGAUUUCCUGCACAUGGAGCUUGUAGACUUUGUCCACACUCUGCAGAGACUUGCAGACAACAUUUGUAAAAGUUUUGUCUAUGGUAAUAUUUGGAGAAAAAUGGUUAUUACUACUUUCCUCAUAAGAUAGAGAUCCACCCAGCCUUCCCAUCUAAGAGUGCAUCUUAGCAUAGCAUUGGCCUGUAGACAUCGUUGCUCUCCUGUGAUUUUUCCCUGCCUUGUUGAUUGUAGGUGAUUAUCAGACAGUUGCACUGUCCCUCUCAAGACAUCUUUAAUUAAAACAGCACUUAGGAUUUUAUUCCAGGGUUUAGAAAUGUAUUGUAUUCUUUCUCAGCCUUUGAAUUCCUGUGUGAGCCCAGCCAGAUCAUGUUAGAAUCAUAGGAUAUCUCAAGUUGGAAGGAACCCAUAAAGGAUCAUCGAUUCCAGCGCCUGGAAAACUCGGUGCCCAUGUAUACAUGCUCUAGACCCUAUAAAUGAACAAGAAGUUAUCUUGAGUGCAGCUGUGCUCAUACGGCUCUCGGCUUAACUCUUUCAGAAACAGAACAACCUGAAAAUGAAGGAUGGAAAAAUGUGACUACAACAUCAUAACAGAAAAAGGACAACUUAAACAUAGUAGUAGAGUGAAGAGAAGAAGGGGAAAAAGGUGCCUUAUGCUUACUCAGAAAAAACCUGCAACUGUGACCUGUGUACAUAAGAGGAACUCAGAAAUUGGCGCAGAGCUGACACAUAGCAAUUAGCGGUGGAAAGUGGACAGCAAAUGGUCAUGGACUUCACACUGGUUACUCACGCCCUGAGCUCCUUCUGUAUUUGCUGCAGUAACUCAUUAUCCAGACAGAACCUUCAGGUAAGCGUCUACUGUGAUGUUAUAGCUAAGAGUACGUAUUCUCCGAAUAUGCAGGAAGGAAAAAUCAUACAGAGGCAAAGCGGUGGUGCACAAGAAGAUGGGAGGGAGCAGAGCCCAGACAGCUGACCCAAGCUAGCCAAGGGGACAUUCUAUACCAUAAACCAUCAUGCUCCGUAUAGAAACUGGGGAGAGUUGGCUGGGGCCUGCCGAUAGCUGCUCGGGGACUGGCUGGACAUCGGUCAGUGGGAGCUUUGUCGACAUUACUUACCCAUACAAACAGCCACCAAGUCAGCAUCCUUCGAACCUUUCAGAGAACCUACAGGGUAGAAAGCCUGGAGUUUGUCUAAUCAUGAGGAGACAGGAAAUAUUGAUGAGUUGAAGGUGGGAAAGAGGUUGAUGAAGACCCAUUUGGAAAAGAGUUAAGGGAGGCAAUGAUCAAAAUCAUCCAAGAGGAGAGUGAGCGAAAAGCUGAGAAGUGAAAGGAAAAUACUGGGGUUGUGUAAUAUGAGAACAAGAAGGGUGCUGAGGCUAGUGGUGCCCAGGGAGGAACGGGUUAACAUCAAAACUGAUAUGGGAAGCUCAGUGGGGAUGGAUGCCGGAUGCACUUGCUGUGAAAGCUACAGCUGAAUUUCUGUAUCAGGUAAGGUAGGAUGCAGAUAUUCCAAAAUUCUGAGUAACAGAGGAGAUGGUGGUCAGAAAUGACAUAAGCAUUUGGAUGCUGUCCUAUAAUGACCGUAACAUCAUUUCUGCAACAUCAAGGUAGUAAAAGCUCUAUACAGACAUCUGCCUUGCUGUUUUGUCAUAUACUUUGCCUUCAAGUACAUGAAACAGAAAAGAGAUGAACUUUUUACCAAAAAGCACAAAUAAGUUCAUUUCUUCACAGUGUAUUUUUUCAGUAUUUACAUAAAAGGAUUCUUAACAUCAUCUGCAAAUUUUGUGCUUAUGAUUCUUCAAAGGACAAAAUAAUAAGGAGGUAAAGCAAACUAUUUCCACAGCUCCUCCACCACUGAGAAAAAAACUUGAACACCUCAAAGAUGUCUUCACUAGAUCAAAACCAAACCAAAACAAAUUAACUGGACUAAAGAAAACAAAUGAAAUGUACUAAACAAAACAAAUUAACUAGACUAAAGGAAACCAGUGAAACCCAUUUUGCUCACCCACAGUGUGCCUGCCCUUUUCUGUCAAAAAGCAGGAAGACAUGAGAGCUAAUUCCCUACAUUUUCGCUUCCAGCCCACCCAGCACAGCACAGCCAGCCCACUCUGGAUGCUCAUGCUAAUAUAUAGCCAUGAGAGAUCUUUUAGAAGAUCCCUGACAAAAUCCUUCCCAGUUGCAGCUGACAGUUUUCUAUGAGUAAGUAUUUUGUACGAACUCCCUUUACAGGAGCCUUUCUGAGGCAGCAGAGCUGGGAUUUGUGUCCCUUAGACGGGAGAAAUUGGAGGGCGACAGGAGGAAGAAAGCAAGAUUUUCUUAGUAGUGCUGAAACCAUAGGUUUGCUCAGACAUCCAUGGAACCAGUGCAAACACACUCAUUUUUUUAAAAAAUAAUCUGUUUUAUUUGCCUAAUAUCUGCUAUGGCAGAUACUCUUCAAAGAGCAUUUUUGUGUUUCCAUGGGAGUAUGAAUAUUACAGCUCCACAUGCCUUGGAGAGCCGUAACUUCAUUGCUUAUUACCAGCUAAAGGAGAGAGUUUUGUUUUAAGAGGCUGUUUAUCUAGCAAAGAGGCCAUUUCAUCACCCCACGAGCAAACAGAAGUGCCAGGAAUGAAAAGGCAAAGGAGACCUUGCCGACCCUGAUGAUGUCCGAAAUCGUAGGGGUGGAGGGAGGGUCUGUUCAUGGGUUUUAUUUUUACAAAAGCCAUAAAACUGGUGAUUAAGAAAGACUUUGCUACGCUUGUGUUUUGUGCAUAGCAGCUAUACUGGUCCCAAAGGAUUUAGGUGCCAAACAGCUCCCACAGCCAAAAGGAGCCAGAGGGAACAUCUGACUCACUAUCUACAGCAUCACUAACAACAUCUAGCGCUGAUGCCAAGCGGACUGACUCAUUCUUGGACUGCCUUCAAGGUGCUUGUCCUGCUUUUCUACCAACACAGAGAACUUAAGCCCUAAUUUUAAGACUUUGCUUCUCAGGGAGCUGGUGCCUGAGCCUCAUAACAGCCGUUCGGUACGGGAGGCUCUCAGAUCUUGGAACACUUUGGGAAUUAUCAUGAGUUUAUGCAGAAAGGCACAAACAGAGUUGUUAUUAUACCUCACGCUGUAGCUUUCUGUCCUUAAAAUGUUUGCUUCUCCAGCCCUCCCCAUGCUCACCU